This 1450-nucleotide ribosomal RNA is filed under the name Lactiplantibacillus plantarum. RNAcentral describes it as "bacterial SSU rRNA". It matches the Rfam family "Bacterial small subunit ribosomal RNA". RNAcentral also lists the same sequence under 1 other name. The record is from RNAcentral. Lineage: Bacteria; Bacillati; Bacillota; Bacilli; Lactobacillales; Lactobacillaceae.
AUACAUGCAAGUCGAACGAACUCUGGUAUUGAUUGGUGCUUGCAUCAUGAUUUACAUUUGAGUGAGUGGCGAACUGGUGAGUAACACGUGGGAAACCUGCCCAGAAGCGGGGGAUAACACCUGGAAACAGAUGCUAAUACCGCAUAACAACUUGGACCGCAUGGUCCGAGCUUGAAAGAUGGCUUCGGCUAUCACUUUUGGAUGGUCCCGCGGCGUAUUAGCUAGAUGGUGGGGUAACGGCUCACCAUGGCAAUGAUACGUAGCCGACCUGAGAGGGUAAUCGGCCACAUUGGGACUGAGACACGGCCCAAACUCCUACGGGAGGCAGCAGUAGGGAAUCUUCCACAAUGGACGAAAGUCUGAUGGAGCAACGCCGCGUGAGUGAAGAAGGGUUUCGGCUCGUAAAACUCUGUUGUUAAAGAAGAACAUAUCUGAGAGUAACUGUUCAGGUAUUGACGGUAUUUAACCAGAAAGCCACGGCUAACUACGUGCCAGCAGCCGCGGUAAUACGUAGGUGGCAAGCGUUGUCCGGAUUUAUUGGGCGUAAAGCGAGCGCAGGCGGUUUUUUAAGUCUGAUGUGAAAGCCUUCGGCUCAACCGAAGAAGUGCAUCGGAAACUGGGAAACUUGAGUGCAGAAGAGGACAGUGGAACUCCAUGUGUAGCGGUGAAAUGCGUAGAUAUAUGGAAGAACACCAGUGGCGAAGGCGGCUGUCUGGUCUGUAACUGACGCUAAGGCUCGAAAGUAUGGGUAGCAAACAGGAUUAGAUACCCUGGUAGUCCAUACCGUAAACGAUGAAUGCUAAGUGUUGGAGGGUUUCCGCCCUUCAGUGCUGCAGCUAACGCAUUAAGCAUUCCGCCUGGGGAGUACGGCCGCAAGGCUGAAACUCAAAGGAAUUGACGGGGGCCCGCACAACCCGGUGGAGCAUGUGGUUUAAUUCGAAGCUACGCGAAGAACCUUACCAGGUCUUGACAUACUAUGCAAAUCUAAGAGAUUAGACGUUCCCUUCGGGGACAUGGAUACAGGUGGUGCAUGGUUGUCGUCAGCUCGUGUCGUGAGAUGUUGGGUUAAGUCCCGCAACGAGCGCAACCCUUAUUAUCAGUUGCCAGCAUUAAGUUGGGCACUCUGGUGAGACUGCCGGUGACAAACCGGAGGAAGGUGGGGAUGACGUCAAAUCAUCAUGCCCCUUAUGACCUGGGCUACACACGUGCUACAAUGGAUGGUACAACGAGUUGCGAACUCGCGAGAGUAAGCUAAUCUCUUAAAGCCAUUCUCAGUUCGGAUUGUAGGCUGCAACUCGCCUACAUGAAGUCGGAAUCGCUAGUAAUCGCGGAUCAGCAUGCCGCGGUGAAUACGUUCCCGGGCCUUGUACACACCGCCCGUCACACCAUGAGAGUUUGUAACACCCAAAGUCGGUGGGGUAACCUUUUAGGAACCAGCCGCCUAAGGUGA